AAAAGUCGUAACAAGGUUUCCGUAGGUGAACCUGCGGAAGGAUCAUUACAAAUCCACGAGUGUCACCCUCACCGGUCGACGCGCGCUCAAACAACGUUGAACCCCUCCCCCUCGGUGCGCAAGCACCUCGAGGACACUAUUUGACCCCCUUUGUCGACACCAAAUACCACGAAUGUACCAACAACAACAACAACCUAGAAAAAACUUAUAACAAUGGAUCUCUAGGCUCUU
Molecule: unclassified non-coding RNA, 231 nt
Filed under: fungal sp.
Lineage: Eukaryota; Fungi
Description: partial internal transcribed spacer region
Rfam family: Eukaryotic small subunit ribosomal RNA (bases 1-48)
Source: RNAcentral